Molecule: transfer RNA, 61 nt
Filed under: Ictidomys tridecemlineatus (thirteen-lined ground squirrel)
Lineage: Eukaryota; Metazoa; Chordata; Mammalia; Rodentia; Sciuridae
Description: Spermophilus tridecemlineatus (thirteen-lined ground squirrel) tRNA
Rfam family: tRNA
About the family: Transfer RNA (tRNA) molecules are approximately 80 nucleotides in length. Their secondary structure includes four short double-helical elements and three loops (D, anti-codon, and T loops).
Source: Rfam by way of RNAcentral
UGUAGCUCAAUAGUAGAGCACUUACCUUUUAUGUAUGAGGGCCUGAGUUUGAUCCCCAGUA